GGGGUGCUCGAGUGGCGAACGGGUGAGUAACACGUGAGUAACCUGCCCUUGACUUUGGGAUAACUUCAGGAAACUGGGGCUAAUACCGGAUAGGAGCUCCUGCUGCAUGGUGGGGGUUGGAAAGUUUCGGCGGUUGGGGAUGGACUCGCGGCUUAUCAGCUUGUUGGUGGGGUAGUGGCUUACCAAGGCUUUGACGGGUAGCCGGCCUGAGAGGGUGACCGGCCACAUUGGGACUGAGAUACGACCCAG
This 249-nucleotide ribosomal RNA is filed under the name uncultured Actinomycetales bacterium. Its description in RNAcentral is "partial 16S ribosomal RNA". It matches the Rfam family "Bacterial small subunit ribosomal RNA", at positions 84 to 334 of the family's 1533-position model. The record is from RNAcentral. Lineage: Bacteria; Bacillati; Actinomycetota; Actinomycetes; Actinomycetales.